This 260-nucleotide long non-coding RNA is filed under the name Elaeis guineensis (African oil palm). RNAcentral describes it as "long non-coding RNA (EGUI_LNC012335)". The record is from RNAcentral. Lineage: Eukaryota; Viridiplantae; Streptophyta; Magnoliopsida; Arecales; Arecaceae.
UCUCUAUUAGUACAUAUCACAUAUGUAUCAAAUAUGCAUCAAUUCAUAUCAUCAUAUGAAAACAUAAUCAUAAACAUGAUUAUAGCAUAAUUCAUAGCAUAUUUAAAUUUGACACUAUGAGCAUUUAUAUAAACAUAUGAUUGAGCCAAACAAGAUCAGGCUCUGAUACCACUGUAGUGUUCGAUUAAUAACAUACAUAGCGAAAGCAUAAUAAAUUUCAAAAAUUUUAGCAUCAUGAAAUCCUAAAUUACUCAAAUCCU